CCUACGGGCGGCAGCAGUGGGGAAUAUUGGACAAUGGUCGGAAGACUGAUCCAGCCAUGCCGCGUGCAGGACGACGGUCCUAUGGAUUGUAAACUGCUUUUGUAAGGGAAGAAUAAGGAGUACGUGUACUUUGAUGACGGUACCUUACGAAUAAGCAUCGGCUAACUCCGUGCCAGCAGCCGCGGUAAUACGGAGGAUGCGAGCGUUAUCCGGAAUCAUUGGGUUUAAAGGGUCCGUAGGCGGGCAUAUAAGUCAGAGGUGAAAGCGCUUAGCUCAACUAAGCAACUGCCUUUGAAACUGUAAGUCUUGAAUGAUUGUGAAGUAGUUGGAAUGUGUAGUGUAGCGGUGAAAUGCUUAGAUAUUACACAGAACACCGAUAGCGAAGGCAUAUUACUAACAAUUAAUUGACGCUGAUGGACGAAAGCGUGGGGAGCGAACAGGAUUAGAUACCCUUGUAGUC
RNAcentral lists this ribosomal RNA (460 nucleotides) under uncultured Capnocytophaga sp. RNAcentral describes it as "bacterial SSU rRNA". It matches the Rfam family "Bacterial small subunit ribosomal RNA", at positions 338 to 795 of the family's 1533-position model. Lineage: Bacteria; Pseudomonadati; Bacteroidota; Flavobacteriia; Flavobacteriales; Flavobacteriaceae. The record is from RNAcentral.